This 592-nucleotide ribosomal RNA is filed under the name uncultured bacterium. RNAcentral describes it as "bacterial SSU rRNA". It matches the Rfam family "Bacterial small subunit ribosomal RNA", at positions 70 to 637 of the family's 1533-position model. The record is from RNAcentral.
ACAGAAUCCUUCGGGAGGACGUCUGUGGAACGAGCGGCGGACGGGUGAGUAACACGUGGGCAACCUGCCUGUAAGACUGGGAUAACCCCGGGAAACCGGGGCUAAUACCGGAUAAGUCGUUUCACCGCCUGGUGAAACGUUAAAAGAUGGCCUUUGUGCUAUCACUUACAGAUGGGGCUGCGGCGCAUUAUUUAUUUAGUGAGGUAACGGCUCUCCAAGGCGACGAUACGUAUCCCACCUGAGAGGGUGAUAUGCCACACUGUGACUGAGACACGGCCCCCACUCCUACGGGAGGCAGCAGUAUGGAAUCAUCCGCAAUGGACGAAAGUCUGACGGUGCAACGCCGCGUGAGUGAAGAAAGGCUUCCGGUCCUAAAGCUCUGUUGUGAGGGAAGAAACCGUUUCGUUCUCACAGGACGGAGCUAUGACGGUACCUCACCAGAAAGCCACGGCUAACUACGUGCCAGCAGCCGCGGUAAUACGUAGGUGGCAAGCGUUGUCCGGAAUUAUUGGGCGUAAAGCGCGCGCAGGCGGUUUCUUAAGUCUGAUGUGAAAUCUCGCGGCUCAACCGCGAGCGGUCAUUGGAAACUGGG